RNAcentral lists this ribosomal RNA (254 nucleotides) under uncultured bacterium. RNAcentral describes it as "partial 16S ribosomal RNA". It matches the Rfam family "Bacterial small subunit ribosomal RNA", at positions 524 to 776 of the family's 1533-position model. The record is from RNAcentral.
UACGGGGGGGGCAAGCGUUGUUCGGAAUUACUGGGCGUAAAGGGCGCGUAGGCGGUGUGUCGCGUCGGCCGUGAAAACCUGGGGCUUAACUCUGGGCGUGCGGUCGAUACGGGCAUCACUAGAGUUCGGCAGGGGAGACUGGAAUUCCUGGUGUAGCGGUGAAAUGCGCAGAUAUCAGGAGGAACACCGGUGGCGAAGGCGGGUCUCUGGGCCGAUACUGACGCUGAGGAGCGAAAGCAUGGGUAGCGAACAGG